This 374-nucleotide ribosomal RNA is filed under the name uncultured bacterium. Its description in RNAcentral is "bacterial SSU rRNA". It matches the Rfam family "Bacterial small subunit ribosomal RNA", at positions 28 to 404 of the family's 1533-position model. The record is from RNAcentral.
GACGAACGCUGGCGGCGUGCUUAACACAUGCAAGUCGAGCGGUAAGGCUCCUUCGGGAGUACACGAGCGGCGAACGGGUGAGUAACACGUGAGCAAUCUGCCCAUCUCUUUGGAAUAAGCGUUGGAAACGACGUCUAAUGCCGAAUACGACCUCCUUUCGCAUGAUCGGAGGUGGAAAGCUCCGGCGGAGAUGGAUGAGCUCGCGGCCUAUCAGCUAGUUGGNGAGGUAACGGCCCACCAAGGCGACGACGGGUAGCCGGCCUGAGAGGGUGACCGGCCACACUGGGACUGAGACACGGCCCAGACUCCUACGGGAGGCAGCAGUGGGGAAUAUUGGACAAUGGGCGAAAGCCUGAUCCAGCAACGCCGCGUGA